GCUCUCUGGAGAAUCCCGCACAAGGGUGCCGAAGGUGAAAGCAGAUCAGCGACUGCGAAUCUCUCAGGCAAAAGGACAGUGAA
RNAcentral lists this non-coding RNA (83 nucleotides) under chicken gut metagenome. Its description in RNAcentral is "Glycine riboswitch". It matches the Rfam family "Glycine riboswitch aptamer", at positions 8 to 87 of the family's 94-position model. From Rfam's summary of the family: This family represents the bacterial glycine riboswitch. Glycine riboswitches usually consist of two metabolite-binding aptamers domains with similar structures in tandem. The record is from RNAcentral.